UCGCGAAUUUGAAUUUCGAAGACGCCUUGAGACUUGGGAGAAGAGAAUAUAGAUGUCGAAGUUAAUGGGCCGUGACGGCAACGUCUUCUUUAUUUCUGACACGCCGAAAAAAAUCAUUAGAUUAUUGAAAUGAGCUUCUUACCUACUGGGAUCUAUUAAAAAAUGGGCGAAACUACGAUAUGGUAAUGAAACUGCAGGAGCAUUUAGAUAGCAAAAUACAAAAAUAAAAAUAAAUAGAAAAAGAAAAUAAAACGUAAGAAGUGAAUCAAUCCUCACCGAAUCUCUUCGUCCGGGACAAAAUGCGGCCUGGUGUCGUGAUAAUUAUAGCAACCGUAGGACUACUAUUUACAGAAGGGACGAGAUGCUCGCGUAGUUACAACCAUUUUGUCAAACAUCGCACAAAGCCGCGAGAAAUUCGCGGCUUCAAGCCCGAAUAUUUAUCAACUGCUAUCGGUUUCGGAAAACGAGAUACUCCCUUCGGUCUCAUCAAGCCUCGCAACCACCAAAAUGUUCUUUUGGCGUUAUUACAAAAAACUUCUCAAAAACUGGAGAAAAGAAGAAUUUUAUGCAAACAGAGGAAUAUUCACAAAAUUGCCAUGUGUGACUAAUUCACGCGGAACAACAAAAUGGAGACAAAAUAAACGGACGAUGUGAUUUGUCUUUAUGAAAAAAAAAAAAAAUUCAAUAACAAUAAUAAUAAUAAUAAUAAUAAUAAUAAUAAAAUGUGCUAUACCUUUUCUUGUAACGCCGCUUCUGCUGUGUAACAAAUUAUUAAUUAUGCCAGUUUUAGCUACAGCAAUUGGUGGAAAUUCAAAAUCGUGAUUGAUCAUGGUAUAUCCCGUGUUGAAUGUUCGUCUCAUUCGAAUUCUAAAGAAAACGAAAUAACAAAGUUAUGAUCUGCAUUUGUUGUUCAACUAUGAAAUAAUAUGGUAAAAUUUAAUUCCAAUCGAACCGAAGCAUCAUGUAUUACUUGAUCUCAUUCUUACGAUUAGACUCAACAAUCAUGUUAUAAUAAAUAAAGCACUACGAAG
This 1031-nucleotide unclassified non-coding RNA is filed under the name Athalia rosae (coleseed sawfly). RNAcentral describes it as "misc RNA ENSAEAG00005012955.1". Lineage: Eukaryota; Metazoa; Arthropoda; Insecta; Hymenoptera; Athaliidae. The record is from RNAcentral.